This is a long non-coding RNA of Contarinia nasturtii (swede midge), 437 nucleotides long. RefSeq lists it as uncharacterized. Lineage: Eukaryota; Metazoa; Arthropoda; Insecta; Diptera; Cecidomyiidae. The transcript has 2 exons. The record is from RefSeq and is a predicted model, not a curated record.
UUAAUUUGAUGAAAAUUAUCAGUAAGCUUUUCAAUUACUACUAAAAGAGAUUCGCGAACAAAACCCGCAAUUUCAUUCAAACAUGUUGAACCGAAACGUUUUCGUAUUACUCUUUGUCGGAGUCAUCGUUUGUCAGCUCCUCAUUUCGGUCGAUGCUGAAGGCGAUAAGAAGAACCAUCCAAAAAAUCUGAAAAAAAAUGAUUCGUUUCUCAAGAGAAGUGCAAGCAAGGUAAAGGAAGCGGUUAAUAAUCUUAUCAGCCCACCAAUCAACGAGGAAGAGAUCAACGCCCGCCAUGAAUACAAACCAAUGAGCAAUGAAGAUAUCGAGUAUUGGACUAAUACUUAUAACAAAUAUAUUCGAGAAUGAUGAGAAAAUCAAUGAAGAAAUAGACGAUUAACAUCAAAAUCGAAAUCACUUUGUAUUACAAAUAAAAUAA